CCUACGGGGGGCAGCAGUGGGGGAUAUUGCACAAUGGGGGCAACCCUGAUGCAGCGACGCCGCGUGAGCGAUGGAGUACUUCGGUAUGUAAAGCUCUGUCAGCAGGGAAGAGAAUGACGGUACCUGACCAAGAAGCCGCGGCUAAAUACGUGCCAGCAGCCGCGGUAAUACGUAUGGGGCAAGCGUUAUCCGGAUUUACUGGGGGUAAAGGGAGCGUAGGCGGCAGGGCAAGCCUGAUGUGAAAGCCCGGGGCUCAACCCCGGGACUGCAUUGGGAACUGCGCCGCUCGAGUGGCGGAGGGGCAGGCGGGAUUGCGAGGGUAGCGGUGAAAUGCGUAGAUAUUAGG
RNAcentral lists this ribosomal RNA (346 nucleotides) under uncultured bacterium. RNAcentral describes it as "partial 16S ribosomal RNA". It matches the Rfam family "Bacterial small subunit ribosomal RNA", at positions 338 to 701 of the family's 1533-position model. The record is from RNAcentral.